GGCGCUUAUUGAUGGGUGUGCGGCUGAUUAGAUAGUUGGCGGGGUAACGGCCCACCAAGUCUACGAUCAGUAGCUGAUGUGAGAGCAUGAUCAGCCACACGGGCACUGAGACACGGGCCCGACUCCUACGGGAGGCAGCAGUAAGGAAUAUUGGUCAAUGGACGCAAGUCUGAACCAGCCAUGCCGCGUGAAGGAUUAAGGUCCUCUGGAUUGUAAACUUCUUUUAUCUGGGACGAAAAAAGGCGAUUCUUCGUCACUUGACGGUACCAGAUGAAUAAGCACCGGCUAACUCCGUGCCAGCAGCCGCGGUAAUACGGAGGGUGCAAGCGUUAUCCGGAUUCACUGGGUUUAAAGGGUGCGUAGGCGGGCAGGUAAGUCAGUGGUGAAAUCCUGGAGCUUAACUCCAGAACUGCCAUUGAUACUAUCUGUCUUGAAUAUUGUGGAGGUAAGCGGAAUAUGUCAUGUAGCGGUGAAAUGCUUAGAUAUGACAUAGAACACCUAUCGCGAAGGCAGCUUACUACGCAUAUAUUGACGCUGAGGCACGAAAGCGUGGGGAUCAAACAGGAUUAGAU
RNAcentral lists this ribosomal RNA (572 nucleotides) under uncultured bacterium. Its description in RNAcentral is "bacterial SSU rRNA". It matches the Rfam family "Bacterial small subunit ribosomal RNA", at positions 214 to 783 of the family's 1533-position model. The record is from RNAcentral.